Molecule: ribosomal RNA, 882 nt
Filed under: uncultured bacterium
Lineage: Bacteria
Description: bacterial SSU rRNA
Rfam family: Bacterial small subunit ribosomal RNA
Source: RNAcentral
UGGCGCACGGGUGAGUAACGCGUGGGUAAUCUACCCCUGAAUUUGGGAUAACGUUGCGAAAGCGACGCUAAUACCGGAUAAUAUCUUUUUAAUUUUGGUUAGGAAGAUCAAAGGUGGCCUCUACAUGUAAGCUACUGUUUGGGGAUGAGCCCGCGUACCAUUAGCUAGUUGGUAGGGUAAUGGCCUACCAAGGCAGCGAUGGUUAGCUGGUCUGAGAGGAUGAUCAGCCACACUGGAACUGACACACGGUCCAGACUCCUACGGGAGGCAGCAGUGAGGAAUUUUGCGCAAUGGGGGAAACCCUGACGCGGCAACGCCGCGUGAGUGAUGAAGGCCUUCGGGUCGUAAAGCUCUGUCAAGUGGGAAGAAUCUGAUUAUUGUUAAUAUCAGUAAUCACUGACGGUACCAUUGAAGGAAGCACCGGCUAACUCCGUGCCAGCAGCCGCGGUAAUACGGGGGGUGCAAGCGUUAUUCGGAAUUAUUGGGCGUAAGGAGCACGUAGGCGGCCAGUUAAGUCAGAUGUGAAAUCCCGGGGCUCAACCCCGGAAGUGCAUUUGAAACUAAUUGGCUUGAGUAUGGGAGAGGGAAAGUGGAAUUCCUGGUGUAGAGGGUGAAAUUCGUAGAUAUCAGGAGGAACACCGGUGGCGAAGGCGACUUCCUGGACCAAUACUGACGCUGAGGUGCGAAGGCGUGGGGAGCAAACAGGAUUAGAUACCCUGGUAGUCCACGCAGUAAACGGUGAUCACUAGGUGUAGCGGGUAUUGACCCCUGCUGUGCCGGAGUUAACGCAUUAAGUGAUCCGCCUGGGGAGUACGGCCGCAAGGUUAAACUCAAGGAAUUGACGGGGCCCGCACAGCGGUGGAAGCAUGGUGGUUUAAUUCG